This is a non-coding RNA of Termitomyces sp. Mi166#008, 97 nucleotides long. The record is from the annotation of a GenBank genome assembly. Lineage: Eukaryota; Fungi; Basidiomycota; Agaricomycetes; Agaricales; Lyophyllaceae.
ACACUGAUGGUGAAGUGGUUAUCAUGCUUGCCUUCCAUUUGUCGCAAUUUCUCUCUUCCAGAAGCAAGCGGCAGGGGUUCAAUUCCCCUUCAGUGUA